This 76-nucleotide ribozyme is filed under the name Crocodylus porosus (Australian saltwater crocodile). RNAcentral's name for it is "Mammalian CPEB3 ribozyme (ENSCPRG00005018317.1)". It matches the Rfam family "Mammalian CPEB3 ribozyme". Rfam says of the family: The mammalian CPEB3 ribozyme is a self cleaving RNA located in the second intron of the CPEB3 gene which belongs to a family of genes regulating messenger RNA polyadenylation. Lineage: Eukaryota; Metazoa; Chordata; Crocodylia; Crocodylidae. The record is from Rfam by way of RNAcentral.
GGUUGAAAGUUCAAGGCCACUGUAGAAGUGCUCAUGGUGUGGCCUGUCAGAUGCCUCCAAAUCUGCAAAUUCUGCU